This 2217-nucleotide long non-coding RNA is filed under the name Myripristis murdjan (pinecone soldierfish). RNAcentral's name for it is "lncRNA (ENSMMDG00005021600.1)". Lineage: Eukaryota; Metazoa; Chordata; Actinopteri; Holocentriformes; Holocentridae. The record is from RNAcentral.
AGAAGAAAGAAGAUUGCUAGACAAGGUCGCUAAGGUUCAUAUCACUCGGCCUUUAGGAAGUUCCAGCGUAGAACCAGUGGAAGUGUGUCAUAACGUGCUGACAGGACCACCUCCGGUUCAGGAAACAGCUGGUGGUUUGACAGCGAGUCAACGGGACAGUGCCAGUGCCAGUGCUAAAGGUCAGGCUUCACCUCGACCAGCAAGAGGAGCUCACGCUGAAUCCGACCACCCGACCAGUCUUAAAGCAAAAGGGUCCUCUGUUUUACCCAAUCCAGCAUCACCUCCAUCUCCUUUGCUGUGGAGGUCACAGAAGGACCGAGCACAAAAUAUUGCCCAAUCACGUAUCGGGCCAAACCUGCCUGGACCUUACCAGCGUCAGUUUUCAAGCCCGGAGACCCUCGCCUGCUCUCCCAGCUCUGCACCAGGAAUUUCCAUCCACAUGAGCCACGUCACUGGACUUCAGAACGGCAACAACAACUACAUGUGCAUCCACACAGACAUCUCCGAGAGAAGACGCCACCCCACGGCGCCAUCUACUGUGACUCUUUUACCACAGCAAUCAGGAAGACACCAGGCGAAGACAGGCGGCGCUGGCUAAGUUUACAUGGAAUUAUCUCGUGUUAAGUUCUCUAAUUCCCUAUUGAUUGUUCUCCCUGGUUGGUUUUGCCUUCACUCCACAACUGGAAAAUCAUGUUUUGCAAGAGUAGCGUUGUAUAAAGGCUUAGCUGUUUUUUUUUUGGACAACAAGCCCUUAUGAUUCAGAAGCUGGUAGAAUCCAUUGUGUUGGCAUUUUAAAUGCUUUGUUUAUAUGACUCUUUGCUUACAAAAAUAGAUGAACGAGCAAAACUUCACUAUUGCUAUGUCAGCAGUGUAAAUAUGAGACAUGUGUGAUCUUUUUUUUUUUUUUUUUUUAACCAACUGUGGUCAACACAUAUUUAUAGUCAUGAUGCCAGCUCAUGAAACAGGAGCCAGAAACUGCUUGAACACCAGCCUGACUAUUAAUCAGACCUGAACCUGAUUCUGAAUACUUCUUGUGGUUUGUUUUAGCCUCCUGAAGUGCCAGAUGGGUGUAUAAUGAAUGAGGGAAAAAAAAAAGUUAUGGCAAUCAUUGGGAAAUAUUGGAAAGUCAAUGCAGUUAUAAUAUUCCUAGUAUCCUGAAACCUCCACCCAUCUGGUUUCCCACAGAAAGCAAAACAGAGCAUUUAUUUGCAAGUUGUGUUUUUAUGUGGGCCUGGAGUCCUUACAUCUGCACUGAACUGUAUGAUAAAAACAUGUAUUUUUCUGCUCUGAAGUUGUGAACCUACUUUGUCUGUAUUUUGUGGAUUUGAUGCUUUUCUAAAAGGAUGUUAAAUAUUUUUUUACUUCCACUCAGGGAGGCAUUUUUGUACUCCUCUGCUGUCCCUGUUACUAGACUUAUCAGGCAUUUGUUGUUUUUUGUUUGUUUUUCAGUAAAGAUGUAAAUACAAAGCAACAUUUAAGUACAAUUUUUCAAUGGUUAUCAGUGUGUUAUGCGUAAAAUAUUUUAUUUGGAGUGUCUUCGGUUAAUAUUCAACGUAGUAUCACCGUAAAUAUCUAAUAUCGAUAUAAAGUAAAUAUCAAUAUCGAGUUAGGUAUCAACACUGACUCAGCUGUGAAAAUCAACUGAUACAAAGUUGAUUUAAAUCCCAUCAAAUGUGCUUUGUUUCCUUUUAACUAGUAUUUAUCAAGGAAAAGGUCUGUCCGUUUUGGGAAAAGUUUCAUUCUCUAUCUCUAAAAUACAGACUCAGCCAGGGAAAAAAGUGGCGGUGGUGGUAUUUUGUCAAAUACUGACUAAAGUUACCUAUUGCUUUCAGUCAUUUUGUAAAAGUCAAUUUCACUUUUCUGAGGGAGGGAGUCUAAUUUUGGAGCAAACCCUUUCAAAUAAUUGCAGAGGCUGUUAUUUGCAUGCUUAUCCAAAAUAUAUGUGUAUGGGUGUGUGUCUAUGUAUGUGUGUGUAGCGGGUUAAAUAGAGGUGGGGACUAUUUACACAUCCAUAAAUACAUGCAUACUAAAUGAAGGCAAAGGUGUUGAGUUAUGCCUAACCCAUUAUAAGGCAUGAGGGCAUUAUUUUUGAUGGAAAAAAAAUGUCUUAAUAUGUAAUUUUAUUAAAUAGAAAUUUUUUAAGGCUUUAAUCAACAAGUGGUAACAUUUUCCCCCUUUCUUUCUCUCUCUGAUGCAGCAGCACCAAAUAAAUGUGAG